UUGAGCGCUUUAGAGGUACACGGAAUUCUGUGUGUAGGGGUAAAAUCCGUUGAUACACAGAGGAACACCAAAAGCGAAAGCAGUGUACUGGAAAGUUGCUGACACUCAUGGACGAAAGUGUGGGGAGCAAACAGGAUUAGAUACCCUGGUAGUCCACACCCUAAACUAUGGAUACUAGGUAUUAGAGGAUUCGACCCCUCUGGUGCCGUCGCUAACGCAUUAAGUAUCCCGCCUGGGAAGUACGGUCGCAAGAUUAAAACUCAAAGGAAUAGACGGGGACCCGCACAAGCGGUGGAGCAUCUGGUUUAAUUCGAUAGUAAGCGAGGAACCUUACCCAGACUUGACAUCCCAAGAAUCUUCUGGAAACAGAGGAGUGCCUUACGGAACUUGGAGACAGGUGCUGCAUGGUUGUCGUCAGCUCGUGCCUUGAGGUGUUCGGUUAAGUCCGUAAACGAGCGCAACCCAUGUCCUGUGUUGCACAUUUCACAGGAGACUGCCGAUUCAAAGUCGGAGGAAGGUAUGGAUGACGUCAAAUCAGCAUGGCCCUUAUGUCUGGGGCGACACAGGUGCUACAAUGGACAAUAUAGCAGGUUGCAAUCCCGUAAGGGGGAGCCAAUCCAUAAAUUUGUCCUAAGUUCGGAUUGAGGGCUGCAACUCGCCCUCAUGAAGCUGGAAUCGCUAGUAACCGCGCAUCAGCCAUGGCGCGGUGAAUAAGUUCCUGGGUCUUGUACUCACCGCCCGUCACACUAUGAAAGGU
RNAcentral lists this ribosomal RNA (757 nucleotides) under uncultured bacterium. Its description in RNAcentral is "bacterial SSU rRNA". It matches the Rfam family "Bacterial small subunit ribosomal RNA", at positions 642 to 1412 of the family's 1533-position model. The record is from RNAcentral.